GCCUGCGUGGUCUAGUGGUUCAGGACGUCGCUCUGCUACUGGAGGCUGGUAGCUUCUCUGCGCCGCUGGCCGGCCAGAGAAGCGCUCCUCUAGCGAGUAGCGAAGGCACCGGUUCGAAUCCGGGAGCGGGCA
This is a transfer RNA of 132 nucleotides. It matches the Rfam family "tRNA". From Rfam's summary of the family: Transfer RNA (tRNA) molecules are approximately 80 nucleotides in length. Their secondary structure includes four short double-helical elements and three loops (D, anti-codon, and T loops). The record is from Rfam.